This is a long non-coding RNA of Chiloscyllium plagiosum (whitespotted bambooshark), 1135 nucleotides long. RefSeq lists it as uncharacterized. Lineage: Eukaryota; Metazoa; Chordata; Chondrichthyes; Orectolobiformes; Hemiscylliidae. The record is from RefSeq and is a predicted model, not a curated record.
UGGAUCUCUUAACUCAUGAUCCAUGUGAAAAAAAAACUUGGACUCGGCUACACCAGCUCUGCAGGGUGACCAAUUCUUUCCAGCCGUUUCAUGCCCAGUAGUUUCUGAAGUGGUUUGAUCUUGAAGCGUGGAAGUUUCAUUGACAUCCCCCACACAGCUGAGGGUUUGCUCAUUUUGCAAACAUGGAAACAGUCUUCUGUAAAUAUGGCAGGCCAGACACCAUCCAUUUUCUAUAAUGAGGACAUUUUAUUUAUCCAUCUAAGUACUUUCACCAGUACAGUCCCAUUUCCAUGACUAUUUUAGGAUAAGUAUGAAUACUCUCUGGAUUCCUCUGCUUAGUAAAAUUAGUGAUGUAAAUUCUGAAGACUUCAGCUGCUAUAGAAAUGUGCCUCAUACUUCACUAUCAUCUAUAGGUGUACACUGUCACAUUCUCACUUCAGAAACAAGAUAUGGAACUCUCUCUUCAAACCCACCAACAAUCAAAAUCUCUUGAAGUUUUACACAUUUUGUCACAGGAAGAGAUCCUUCAAGCAUCAUGCAAGGAGCUGGUGCCAGAGGAAAAUAAAAACUUCUCAGAAGAGGUCGUUCACUCAGAUGAAGCAUUGUAAUAUGACUUACAUACACCCCACCAACAUCAGACAAACAGAUAUUGUCUGGCUCUUUAAGACAACUUGUCAUAUGGUGAGCAGAAGAACUGUGUCAGAGAUAGAUUCAGCAGUGGAAAGGAAGGCAAAGGACACUCCAAUACCUGUUCAGCCAGUUAUAGAUGUAAAACCUAGUGAGUUAAUAUUGUAAAGGAUUAUUUUGCCACAGCAGAAGAUACUGUGUGAGAUUCUUGCAGCACCUUCAGAGUCACUUAGCACCACUGGAGACUGCAGAAACCAUCAAGAUAACCAAUUUGCCUGACUGACUAUUAUUCAGUCAAAAGCCAUGAUGACUCAGGUCUUUGUGCUAUGUCUACCUCUAUGUAGAGAAUGGCCACUUGCAUGGAGUAUCAGAUACAAGAGAAGAGAAGAAAAGCAAUCGAAUUAAGCGAAAGGAAUAAAUUGGUGACUGUGAGAAUAGUUCAUGCUAGGGAUGGGGAUGGUCAUAGUGGGUUCAGUUGUGGUUGUCACAUAGUUGACCUACCUCAGAU